UUGUUAGUUAAAACUCGCAAAGAGUAUGAUAAGACGACAGUAAGAAGAGAAAUGAGAGAGGUCAGUUGGUGAAAACCUACAAAGGGCGCCACUAAUUGAAAAAGGAUCCCAUACAACCAUCAGUACUGAUAGAGUCCUGAUAGGGUUUUGAGGUUUUGAGGUAUGGGAUAUGAUGGGUUUAUGAUAGUUGAAUGGUUUGCAUAGAUCGGCUAUCCAGUCCAAGAAGCAUGUCAUGUUUAUUUAAGUCUGCACACACUCCAGAUAAGUCUUUCUUUCCUUUCCCUGAAAGGUACACUUCUUGUAUAAAUUCGUUUCCCUCUCCAUUAUUUUUUUUCUCAUUGAAUCCCUUUUCGGUCUAACUCCCUUUGGAAACUAAUACAAAUAAAAU
This 388-nucleotide long non-coding RNA is filed under the name Nicotiana benthamiana. RNAcentral's name for it is "long non-coding RNA (NBEN_LNC042437)". Lineage: Eukaryota; Viridiplantae; Streptophyta; Magnoliopsida; Solanales; Solanaceae. The record is from RNAcentral.